This 469-nucleotide ribosomal RNA is filed under the name uncultured bacterium. Its description in RNAcentral is "partial 16S ribosomal RNA". It matches the Rfam family "Bacterial small subunit ribosomal RNA", at positions 28 to 507 of the family's 1533-position model. The record is from RNAcentral.
GACGAACGCUGGCGGCGUGCUUAACACAUGCAAGUCGAACGGUGAACGAGGGAGCUUGCUCCCUCCGGAUCAGUGGCGAACGGGUGAGUACCACGUGGCAAACCGCCCCCGAAUCCUGGGUUAACCUUGGGAAACACGGCCAAAUCCCGGAUCAGCUCGGGAAGGGAUUCUUUCCCCGGUGAAAGAACUUCGGUUCGGGAUGAGCUCGCGGCCUAUCAGCUUGUUGGUGAGGUAACGGCUCACCAAGGCCACGACGGGUAGCCGGCCUGAGAGGGUGACCGGCCACACUGGGACUGAGACACGGCCCAGAAUCCUACGGGAGGCAGCAGUGGGGAAUAUUGCACAAUGGGCGCAAGCCUGAUGCAGCAACGCCGCGUGAGGGACGACGGCCUUCGGGUUGUAAACCUCUUUUAGCAGGGAAGAAGCGAAAGUGACGGUACCUGCAGAAAAAGCACCGGCUAACUACGUG